This 253-nucleotide ribosomal RNA is filed under the name uncultured prokaryote. Its description in RNAcentral is "partial 16S ribosomal RNA". It matches the Rfam family "Bacterial small subunit ribosomal RNA", at positions 524 to 776 of the family's 1533-position model. The record is from RNAcentral.
UACGAAGGGUGCAAGCGUUACUCGGAAUUACUGGGCGUAAAGCGUGCGUAGGUGGUUCGUUAAGUCUGUCGUGAAAGCCCCGGGCUCAACCUGGGAAUGGCGAUGGAUACUGGCGGGCUAGAGUGCGGUAGAGGGUGGUGGAAUUCCCGGUGUAGCAGUGAAAUGCGUAGAGAUCGGGAGGAAGGCCGGUGGCGAAGGCGGCGCUCUGGAACGUUUCUGACGCUGAGGCUCGAAAGCGUGGGGAGCAAACAGG